CCUACGGGAGGCAGCAGUGAGGAAUAUUUGUCAAUGGGCGAGAGCCUGAACCAGCCAAGUCGCGUGAGGGAGUACUGCCCUAUGGGUUGUAAACCUCUUUUGUCGGGGAGCAAAAGCCGGACGUGUCCGGCUGUGAGAGUACCCGAAGAAAAAGCAUCGGCUAACUCCGUGCCAGCAGCCGCGGUAAUACGGAGGAUGCGAGCGUUAUCCGGAUUUAUUGGGUUUAAAGGGUGCGCAGGCGGAUUUUUAAGUCAGCGGUAAAAUCGUGGGGCUCAACCCCAUCCAGCCGUUGAAACUGGGGAUCUAGAGUGUGCGAGAGGUAUGCGGAAUGCGUGGUGUAGCGGUGAAAUGCAUAGAUAUCACGCAGAACCCCGAUUGCGAAGGCAGCAUACCGGUGCACAACUGACGCUCAGGCACGAAAGCGUGGGUAUCGAACAGGAUUAGAUACCCGUGUAGUC
Molecule: ribosomal RNA, 458 nt
Filed under: uncultured bacterium
Lineage: Bacteria
Description: partial 16S ribosomal RNA
Rfam family: Bacterial small subunit ribosomal RNA
Source: RNAcentral